UACAGAGGGUCCAAGCGUUGAUCGGAAUCACUGGGCUUAAAGGGUGCGCAGGCGGCGCCGCAAGUGCCUUGUGAAAUCCCCCGGCUUAACCGGGGAAUUGCUCGGUAGACUGCGGUGCUUGAGCCCGACAGAGGUGGUCGGAACGGUAGGUGGAGCGGUGAAAUGCGUAGAUAUCUACCGGAACGCCGAAGGUGAAGACAGGCCACUGGGUCGGCGCUGACGCUCAGGCACGAAAGCGUGGGUAGCGAACGGG
Molecule: ribosomal RNA, 253 nt
Filed under: uncultured bacterium
Lineage: Bacteria
Description: partial 16S ribosomal RNA
Rfam family: Bacterial small subunit ribosomal RNA
Source: RNAcentral